Molecule: non-coding RNA, 118 nt
Filed under: Amphidinium massartii
Lineage: Eukaryota; Dinophyceae; Amphidiniales; Amphidiniaceae
Source: RNAcentral
GGAGCGGCUCCGCAAGCCUUCCUAGGUGCAAGACCGAUGGCCGUGCCAGGAGGGCCAGCAGGCUUCCCACCAAGGUUGCCCGGUCUUCCGCUCGACGGUGGCGGUGGCUCGUCGUCAA